GAGAAGAACGCAGCGAAAUGCGAUAAGUAAUGUGAAUUGCAGAAUUCAGAGAAUCAUCGAAUCUUUGAACGCACAUUGCGCCCGCCAGUAUUCUGGCGGGCAUGCCUGUCCGAGCGUCAUUUCAACCCUCGAGCCCCCCCGGGGGCUCGGCGUUGGGGAUCGGCCCCUCACCGGGCCGGCCCCGAAAUACAGUGGCGGUCUCGCCGCAGCCUCCCCUGCGCAGUAGUUUGCACACUCGCACCGGGAGCGCGGCGCGUCCACGGCCGUAAAACAACCCAAACUUCUGAAAGGUUGACCUCGGAUCAGGUAGGAAUACCCGCUGAACUUAAGCAUAUCAAUAAGCGGAGGA
This 349-nucleotide unclassified non-coding RNA is filed under the name soil metagenome. Its description in RNAcentral is "partial contains 5.8S ribosomal RNA, internal transcribed spacer 2, and large subunit ribosomal RNA". The stretch from base 3 to 119 matches the Rfam family "5.8S ribosomal RNA", at positions 38 to 154 of the family's 154-position model. The record is from RNAcentral.